GCUCUGUGGCGCAAUGGAUAGCGCAUUGGA
Molecule: non-coding RNA, 30 nt
Filed under: Oryctolagus cuniculus (rabbit)
Lineage: Eukaryota; Metazoa; Chordata; Mammalia; Lagomorpha; Leporidae
Also listed under: 2 other names
Source: RNAcentral